The sequence is a ribosomal RNA, 1737 nucleotides long. It matches the Rfam family "Bacterial large subunit ribosomal RNA", at positions 15 to 2044 of the family's 2925-position model. The record is from Rfam.
GAAAUUAUUAUGGAGUAUAAGUUAUGUAUUAAAGAGAAUAAAUUAUAGCUAAAUAUUUAUAAGAAAUAUUUAUAAUAUUAACUCUAAGAGAAAUUAAAUAAUAAACAAAGUGAAUUGAAGCAUCUUAGUAACUUUAGGAAAAGAAAUCAAAAGAGAUUCUAUGAUUAACGUGAGUUAAAGUAGAGCAGUCUAAAAAGUAGAACGGUAGAUAAACUGUUUAAACUUUAUGGGGAACCUUCCUCAAAGACUAAAUAUAAUACAUACACGUUAGUGUAAAGUACCGUAAGGGAACGAUAUGUAAAUAGUAAUUUUAUAAGCAGUUCGAGGCGUAAGCUAUAGAACGUACCUUUUGCAUAAUGGGUCACCAAGUUAACAUUAGAUGCAAGCGUGCAUAUGAAGCAUGCGUAGAUAAACCAAGCGUUAAAAUAACGGUAUAGUAUCUAAAGUUAGACCCGAAGCCUAGGGAUUUUACCACAAUCAGGAUUAUAAAAGUCCGAACGGUAUAUUGUUGCAUAAAUAUCCGAAGAAUUGUGGUAGGUAUAGUGAAAGACAACACUGACUAGGAAUAGCUGGUUUUCUGCGAAACCUAUGAUAGUAGGCAAUUUAAGUAAAUAUCUUAGCAGGUACAGAAUUUAAUCUCAGACAAGACAUGUAUAACUCUUUACUGGUUUAUACAUGUUUUAUUUUGUACAAAUUGGGGGAUCGUGAAGAUUUUAUCAGUGAGUAUGUAGAAUCGGAAUGGCAAAGAUAUAUUUUGAAUUAUCAGACAUAGAAUGAGAAGGUUGUAUGUCAAAAGGGAAACAGCCCAGAACAAGAGUUAAGGUUCCUAAAUUAUUAGUUAAGUGAAAUUAAGAAGGUUUUUAUUUGAGUCGACAAGGAGAUAGGCUUAGAAGCAGCCAUAAUUUUAUGACCUCGUAACAGAGCGCUUGUUAAGUUAUAAAAGCAUCGAAAAUUUAACGGAUCUAAACAAUAUACCGAAACCUUGUCCAUGUUAAUUUAUGAUAAAAAUUUAUUAUAAAUAAAUGGGGUAGCAGAACGUUGGGUUAUUUUAAGAUUUUACUUUUUUAAAGUAAAAUACAACAAAUUAACCUAAGUGAUAAUGGUGACAUGAGUAACUAAAAGAAAAAAUAUUCCGCCUAAAGCUUAUGGAUAGAUUUAAGUAACGGCCUCUAAGUUUAUAUUACCUAAAGGUUUGAACGAUGAGAAAAUCUUUUUUUACUAAGGACAACAUUUUUAUGUGCAAAAUGUGCAGGAAAAGUAGUAAAUAUUAAGGAUUUGUUUACAAAUUAUAUAUUUGUAUACAAAUUAAACAACCGUACCUAGAAACUGAAACAAGUAAGCUAGUAGAGAAUACGAAGGCGUAAAUGAGCUAACAAUCAUAAAGGAACUCGGCAAAAUGACUACCGUAACUUAGGGAUAAGGAGGGCUCAUUAUUCUUGAUUAAUAUCGAGUAAAAAGGAAGAAGCAUAAAAUGGUGUUGUACGACUGUUUAAUUAAAACACAGCACUUUGCAGAAAGAUAAAAAAAUCUAAGUAUAAAGUGUGAUAUCUGCCCGGUGCCGGCUGGUUAACAGAUAUACUUAAGUAUAUUACUACUUAAAAUAGACGGAACCCCCGGUUAAAGGCGGCCUUAACGUGAGGGUCCUAAGGUAGCGAAAUGCCUUGGCCGUUAAAUGCGGUCUCGCAUGAAUGGUGUAACGAUACAACAGCUGUCUCUAUGAUUGACUCAGUGAAAUUG